UUUUCUUUUCAGUUUCUUCAUUAAUUUGCAGAUAUAGCCAACGCCGACAACGACACAGCAAGACUCUCUACCAACACGUAAAAUGAACAUGUCAAGGAAAUAAGGCCGCAACUGACAAAGAAUUUUAUGGAAAGACGGAGCAAAAGGAAACAUCGCAUGGUCCCAAGCAACUACAACAAAGAGACAUCACCUUCUUUUUCUGGUUAAUGACAACGUUGGUGUGACUGAGAAGCCAUACGGCGGGAGACGCAGCCCAACAGCAUAGCCAACCACAACGGCGCAUCAUGCCUUGAGGAGAACAGCCGCUAUGAAGAACCCGGCCCUACGAUAGCCUCCGCGGACCAAGAAGUAUCCGAUUAGUCAUGCAGAAGCUCCAACUGUGGCUGGGUCACACGACCAACCGCAGCCUAUUUGUUUGGGGAGCGCCAAACAAAUGGGAGGGCCCAUUUGUUUGGCGGCCCCGUCACGCCCAGCACCGAGGCCGCCACCUCAGGACCGUUCGAGUGUUGCCCUACGAGGAGUGGAUUAGGCCGGCAACAGGAUCAGUGGAUUCUGGCAGGGCCCUUCUGGACUCCAUCUUGCGUUUCGCCAAUGACGCGCAGAUUAUAAGCCGGUUACGAAUUCGCAUCCCCCUCCUUGCUACAUAUAGCA
Molecule: non-coding RNA, 651 nt
Organism: Dermacentor albipictus
Lineage: Eukaryota; Metazoa; Arthropoda; Arachnida; Ixodida; Ixodidae
Source: RefSeq, a predicted model, not a curated record